UUUGAAAACAAUAAUUAGAGAAAGUCAUAAUAAAUAUUUCAGGAAAUGAACCAAAGUGUCAUUUUCCUAAGGCAGCAAGGGCAAGACAAGAUGAUGACAGCAAAAUAUACGAGUGUGUCUCUGAAAGUGCAACAAACCUUGAUAAUUUGACAAGAAUUAUCAACGCUGGAAAAUCAGAUGUAAACUAUAUGGAUGGAAAUGGAAGAACUGCUUUACAUGAAGCAGCAAGGAAGGGUGAAGUUGAAACUGUAAAGCUUUUAAUGUCAGCUGGUGCUAGUUUAGAAUUCAAGUAAGUUUUAUUCUUGCCAUGAACAUUUUAG
Long non-coding RNA from Ruditapes philippinarum (Manila clam), 320 nucleotides. RefSeq lists it as uncharacterized. The transcript has 3 exons. The record is from RefSeq and is a predicted model, not a curated record. NCBI's taxonomy places the organism in Eukaryota, Metazoa, Mollusca, Bivalvia, Venerida, Veneridae.